This 693-nucleotide ribosomal RNA is filed under the name Coemansia sp. Kimi. Its description in RNAcentral is "eukaryotic LSU rRNA". It matches the Rfam family "Eukaryotic large subunit ribosomal RNA", at positions 38 to 633 of the family's 3401-position model. Lineage: Eukaryota; Fungi; Kickxellomycota; Kickxellomycetes; Kickxellales; Kickxellaceae. The record is from RNAcentral.
GCAUAUCAAUAAGCGGAGGAACAGAAACUAACAAGGAUUCCCUUAGUAACGGCGAGUGAACCGGGAUCCCAGGCUCGAGACCAUAAUCCCACAGCGGGAGUUGUAGUCAAGGACUGGUUUUGCUAGCUUUAAAAAGACCUGGUCAAGUCCCUUGGAAUAGGGCGCCAGAGAGAGUGACAGCCUCGUAGUGCUGGGUCUUAUAAAGUGUUAUGCAACUAGCUCCCAGAGUCGGGUUGUUUGGGAAUGCAGCCCUAAGCGGGAGGUACGCACCUUCUAAAGCUAAAUAUUCAGGCAAGAGACCGAUAGCGAACAAGUACCGUGAGGGAAAGUUGAAAAGCACUCUGGAGAGAGAGUGAAAAGCACGUGAAACCAUUAAUAGGGAAGCGGAAAGUGAGGGGGACUGAAGCAUACUUGUGUGCUCGCCCAAGGCCAGGGCGAGUGGGCGGAGAAGGUGCUGGGAAAGGUGGCUCUGCAUUAGUGGAGUGUUAUAGACCCAGCACACUUGACGCGUCCGCUCGGCCUGAGGAAAAAACUAAUUAAUUUAGCGACACCUGGCUUUUUUUUUUACAAGCUGGCGGUCUGUGGUACGAGUCCUGUUGCGAGGCAAGACCAGACAGCAUGCUGACUGGUUGCGCAGUUUAUCGCGGCAGGCGCCCUUGUGCAGCGUCCGUAGUGUCAAUGGCCUUUUGGGAA